UACGGGGGGGGCAAGCGUUGUUCGGAAUUACUGGGCGUAAAGGGCUCGUAGGCGGCCAACUAAGUCAGACGUGAAAUCCCUCGGCUUAACCGGGGAACUGCGUCUGAUACUGGAUGGCUUGAGGUUGGGAGAGGGAUGCGGAAUUCCAGGUGUAGCGGUGAAAUGCGUAGAUAUCAGGAGGAACACCGGUGGCGAAGGCGGGUCUCUGGGCCGAUACUGACGCUGAGGAGCGAAAGCGUGGGGAGCGAACGGG
Molecule: ribosomal RNA, 253 nt
Filed under: uncultured bacterium
Lineage: Bacteria
Description: partial 16S ribosomal RNA
Rfam family: Bacterial small subunit ribosomal RNA
Source: RNAcentral